AUUAAUUACAGAAUACCAUGUGAUAAGCAUUUCUAAUAUUCAACUUUGAAAUAGUAGUUAAACAAAACCUGAGGUUUUUUAAGUAACAAGUACUCAGGAGUCUUAAAGCUAAGCUCAUUUGAAGGGAUACUCCUAAGGAGCUAGUUUCACUUCAGUAGCUGAUGAUCAGAAUGUUGUGCUAUUACCUAGCCUGACCAGCCUAGGUUCACAUGGUCAGAUCUUAAGAGACAGGUUUUCCUCCUUUUCCUUGAUGUUAGGCACUAUGCAUUUAUUUAAACUCUGCAUGCCCCGACCUUUAGGCUGACUGCAGCAGCAUCUCCUGAAAGAAUCAACCAUGGCAAACAUGAAUGAAUUACUUAUAGAUGUAUUUCUGUGGGGUAGGUGCUAGGAAGCCUUACAAUAGUUUCAAUAGCCUUUUUCUUCAAUAAAAAUAUAGUGGAAUUUUGAAGGUCUUUGAAGGGAAGAAGGAAAAGGAGACAUUAUUUCCUCUAAGGAUUAGAUGAUCUUGUAUGUUUAGAGGGACUUGUGUCAGCUUUGAAGAAAUGAAGUUCUAGUGUACUGUCUUUAUUUUACUUUUUUUAAUAAAUGAAAAUGAGAUCUGAUAUAGAUUGGAUUGCAUCUUAUGGGGCCCUCUGUAGAAUGUAAACCCUGGAUUCCGUUGUUGCUGUCCUCAAUUUGUGGAUGAGGUUUGCAUUUCAAUACUGUGCUGUAGCAUUAAGAAGUUGGAGGCGACUUCUACUCCAAAUAUGGAAAGAUUCUGUUUCACUUUGAUAGGAUCUGUAAUCUGUUUCAGAAGAGUUAUUGAUUGUAGUCAGUGGAAUAUUGUACUAACGUGUUCUUGUAAAGCUCAUCAUUGGUUAAAAUGCUGACACUCAACUUCUGUAAACUUAGCCUCGUUCAUAACUGUCAGCUUUAAGAAUGAAAAUACAAGUAGCAAUUUCUUUUCCUGUCCUAAGAAAUAAGUGUUACUUGUUGAAAUGUCUUAGUUGUUAGUUGUUCAGUGGGUGAUUGCUCUAGACAAAGCUGGAAUGGGGUCUAAACUGCCUGACAGUACAACAUUUUCUCAAUAUCUUUUAGUAGCUUUUUGAAAUUGCUAUGGUUUGUUAAAGCUGUUGAACAAUGUAAAUAUUACAGCAUGUUGUUGACUUUUUGCAUAAGGAGAGCAAUAAAGAACCUUUUGUGGGUCUAGGUAAAGUAUAUAGGAGUCUCUUUGCAUAAGAUUAGAUUGUAAAGCAAUGUUAGAGUUUACAUUUUCCAAGUAUAAAGGAAAACAUGUGAGCAUAUAUGUAUAUGUAUGCACAGGUCUAAAGUAUGCAUCCAUGUAUGUAUUUGUAUGUGUGUAUAUAGUUGAGGACUGCUCCAAAAGUAAUGCUGCCUGUCUUAUUGUAUUGGCCCACGAUAUCAGAGGUGGAUGUUGGUGGUAUGGCAGUAGAGGCUGAAUCUUCCUGCCAAUAUUUCAUUACAUUUUGUUGCCAUGUGGCAGAUGGCAGCAGAGGGAUGUCCGACAGAAUGGUGUUGGACAACAGAAGUGUGUAUGAAACAAAGGUGCAGAACUGAACUGCUCCGUGAGGAGGAAAUGGUACCCACUGGCAUUCAUCAGCACUUACUGAAUGAGACCCAACAGUGGAUGUGAGCACAGUGAGGUGGUGGGUGGUGUGUUUCAGCAGCGAUGACAGCAGCAGUGGGGUACCUUUGCUAGUGCAGACUUCUAUGAGUGUGAUAUGUGGUCUCCUGUUUCUUACUGGUGAAAGUGCGUGGCUCCUGGUGGUGACUGUGCUGAAAAACAGUGUUUUGUAGCUGAGCAUUUGCUCUAUCAAACAGAUAUUGUGUAGUUUGUAUCUGUUAUAGGUUCCAUGGAAAUAAAUAGGAGGCAUUACUUUCAGAGCAGCUUAUAACACACCUGUAUUUGUUUUUAUUUCAGUUUUUUUUCCAAAUCUGCUAUGGCUAGAGAAUGUGAUGACUUUUUUCACUGAUUUGAAAUCAGAAGUUGUCCUAACACGGUUGAUCAGCAUAGUUCCUCCUUCUCAUUAUAGAACUGACUACCCUGCAAUGAUGAUUUAUUUUAUUCAUAAUUUACUGUCAACGUAAAUACACUUGAGAUAUCUGCAAUGACAUACUGUUUCAAGAAGCACAUGUCUUUGUAGUAUUCAUUUCUGUCAUUAACAAAACAUUGUAAUGAUUUAACUGAGCUACCUCAGUAACUAAGAUGUGCCUCUGUUGUCGUUAAGAUUGCUUGCUGAAGCUUUACUGCUUUAAGCACCAUUAGAAGUUUAAAGCCUAAUUAAGCAUGCUUUCAGUUCCUCAUGCUGUAUGUUGCAGUAGUUAAGUAGUAACUUUCUUGUAUUAGUAUUGACCUUAGGUAGUAUUAGGUAGAUGAAAUUCAUCUCACUUGACAAAAAACCCUCUUUUUGGUCUAGUUUGUUCAUAUACAUAGACAUCUGUGCUGAUGCUAAGGAAUUAAACUUUUUGAUCUGAACUUCUUCAGACAUGAAACUGUCCAGAGUUUUAGAGAUCAGUAAGAAACAAAGUACAGUCACUAAAUGUUUUGGAUGUUGGCAGUGCUGAGCUUUUUAGUUCUGCAACUGGAAGAAAAAUAAAGUUUUUAUUCCAAGUUAGUGUUUUUAAUGUCUGUUUUUCUAUGGUGUGUAAAAUACUUUUAUAUAGCCAGGGCCUCUGUAGUAAACUUUUCUAUUUCUGGAUUAAUAGAUCAUGGUGUAGCACAGGGAAUUUGUUCUCUGUUGAAAGAAAAAUAGCAAGAAUCACAUUAAACAAACCUUCACUGAGAUAAAGUCAUUAUUAAGGUGAUGAGUUGUUUUUGGAGGAAGUAGUUUUCCACUGUCCUUCAGGGAGUUGUUUAUAAAGUCAGUGAGUCAAUGUAUUGUGUGAGGUUGAUGUUCCCUUAAAAACAAAGGGUAAAGUUUUCUUAGUUCCUGAAAUAGUAACUUUCCCCAGUUGUCACAAAUUGCUGUCUUCUGUGACACACGUGGUUAAAGCUGUGCUUACUAGAAAGCUUCUCUAAAGAGACUGCAUUUAGAAGAGACUAUUCAGAGCAGCUUCUCUUAAAACAUGAGAUACUACUUCCUUCCCUGUAGAUUCAUUGAGAAUCUUCCUAGUGAAGUUAACUUUUGGCUGAGUUUUUACUACUUUGGGUUCAAAGCCAAACCUUGCUGUACUUGGAGAGAUGUGUAUUUUGGUGGUGCUUAUUCAUCUGUAGGUAGACACCCAGACUCUGGUUUUACUAACGUGAGUAAGUGAGCAGCGCGCUCACUUGUAUGGCCAGAAUGGAGGUGUCUUCAAGCUGAUAUUCCUCGUGUGCCUUCUGAAGUCGUUUUGAAGGAUGAAGACAAUUCUGUUUGUCUGCAUAGGAUUUUUUCUCCUUUUCAUGAAGAGCAGUAUAGAAGGUAUUUUAAUACCUCAUGGUAGGUUUGCUAAGGAGUGUGUGGUGUGGAGACUCACUUUGUUACGAGCGUUCAAGGAGAGCUGAUGCUUAUUAGACCUCUGAUUCAGUAAAGCAGUGUUAGUGGGAAGUGAACUUGCUGCUUGUGGUAUACAGCCGUGGCACUCAUCUCAUUAACGUUGCAGUUGUGAAUAUCUGUACAGCAGCUUCCUACCACAUGUGAAAAAUAGUAAUAGGAGGCAAAGUGUUACAGUGAUAUAAUGAUAUCACUAUAUGUGAUAGUUAAUUUUUCUGUUUUUGACGUCUGCCAGAUACUUUAAUUUUUCUCAAUAGCUUAUUCUAACCUAGUAAUGCUGGCAAAUGACUUCGUUCUUCUAUUUGGAAAAACUGUUUUGCUCUGGGAUAGAUGCUCACCUGAGUUACUGAGCAGAAUGCUGUGCAGGUGGGCUCGGCUGCCUGAAAUUAGUUUAACAGUGCUUAAGUAUGCUUUCCUGUGACUCUUACUUAAUGGUACCUGCUGCCCAGGUUUAGAUUGGGGUAGAGCUAAUUUACUUCAUGGUAGCUGAUAUGAUGCAAGCGUUUGUUUCCUGUUUCCUGCUCUGUAGAUUCCAGGAGGAUCUGGAACUCCAGAACUGGUAGCAGUAUGGGCCUGGUUCAAAGCUAGUCUUUGGGCUGAACAAAAUGCUGCCCUAGAAUUUUCUUGACUGUGGAAAGUAGCUGAGAAACUAGGAGUGGAAAGAAUAGUAAUAAGCUGGCCCUGAUGAGUCCUGACAGCAUGAGCUGUGCAGUCAGGUGUCCUUGUGGUGUAUCCCUGGUUCUGUUAAUACGAUAUAGAGAUGGAUGAGCUGAUUGCAUGGGGAACAAUGUCUUUGUUAGCAGGAUUUGCUAGCAUGGACUGUGCUGAUGAAAGCAGCUGUAGCUUUUGGACCCAAACUGUCUUUGAAAUCUGUGUACUGACAGUAUAAAAUUCCUUUAACCUACAGAGAUUAAUGAAUAAUAUUGACAUUAGAAAUGCUGAACUACUAAACAAAGCUAUAACUUGCUUACAUAAGGGAACUGUUUCCAAAUCUUUCUUCCUGUGGUGAGUGUUAUGUUUCGGAACAUAGUUCUGGUGUAUAGUAAUCUGUAGUUAUUUGCACUGUCAGCAUUACAUUGGGUGCACAAUGUGAUAUUUUGUUGGGGGGAGGGAGAGAUCUAAUUUUGUGUUUACCAGACUGCUGAAAGGUAAUAUCUCAUUAGAGCUUUUUAAACAAGUCUGACACAGGUAGUCUUCCCAUGCAGUGGGUUGUCUGGGUCUAAACAAGAAGUGCUUUGUUGCUGUAGGUCUAAUAGUGUGUAUUUUCUACUUAAAGUAUAGCUUCUCCCAGCAGAAGUACGUCUCUUACUAUAAUUUAUCCUUGCCAUGUUGCCUUUUACUGCAUAGCAGGGCCUAACUGAAUCUGUACGAUUCCUAACUAGCAUGGCUAGGCUAACAGGAAUUUAAGUGUGGUGGCUCAAUGUGUUGUGUAAGCAGAAGGCCUUUGUUUCUCCCAUAUCUGCCUUCCCACACACACAGGAGAUCUAUAUCAGUGAAAUAGUUAUGACAUGGUGAAAUGUUUGGUGGUUGAAAUACAUAGCACUAAAACAGAAGUAGCUGAACUCUGAAAUUCUCAGGCUUUCUGCAGAAUCGAGUGGAUACAGCUGUUUUCUCUGUGAGCAGUUUUUAGUACAUCUUUCCCUCCCCACCACAUGAAUCUAUAGUUAUCCUCCCAUCACCACCAAAUGCAACUAUCCAAACCUAGAAGCAGAUAAAUUGGUAUGCUUUGAGCCCUGUCUGGAACUCCUAAAAGUAAGAAAUAAAGUAGGAGGCUGGGUUUUAAACCAGAAGCCUUUCUGGUCAGCUUGGUUUUGCGAAAUACCAGAUACACAGUGAGUAGUGUCAGUUCUUUAGUCCGCUGUGCAGAAGCUGAAAACAAAGGCAGUCCCUCAAACUGUAGGACUAUAAAAGGUGUAUAGGAAAGAAGGUGGGUAAAUGCAUUUAUUCUAGGAAAGAGUUUAUCCCUGAAAUAGAAAAGUUGUUGAGUAUAGACACAAAGAAACAAAACCAAUGGAUUGUAGAGUUCUUGGAGUUGGAAAGGACCAUACUGUAUAUGCAUUUGGCCCAGUUUUUCCUUUUUGUGAUAAGUUAUGUCAGCUUGCAGUUUCUGCCUUUCUACCUCCAGGGUUUUUAUCUAGGUCAGGGUGAGUAGGUUGAAGCUGGUUGUGAUUCUCUUUUCCUUAUUGCUGCAUGCUGUACUUGCUGAUCUAAUUCUGCACUUUCCAGUAUCUAGUUGCCAAAUGUCUAAUGACAUCCCUUACAGGUCUGGCAGAGAACAGAUGCUGUUCUUCCCAAACCAGUUCUCUUAUGAUAUUCACUGUGAAGUAGUAGAGGCAAGAAAAACUUCAAGUAUUCCAUCUGUCAACCUUUCAACAAACUGGACUUUCACAUGCUGCAUGCACUUACUCAUUGUGACUUCAGCAUGUCUUUUUUUCUUGCUGCAUUGGUGACCCAGUGGGACAUGAACUAAUUAUACUUUUCAGGGACAGUGGACAAUGAUUAUGGAUUGUUGGAUAUGUUCCACUGUUUCUAGGGGAUCCCAUGUAACUUGAAUGUUUACUCUUGGCUCUCACUUGCCAGACUCUUCUCAUCUAAGAAGAGCAUAUUGUUUAAUAGAGCUUUGGUUAUCAAAAGGAGGAGUAUAGCACAGCUUUUAGUGGAUGUACAGAGCUUUUGAGCAGAAGCUUUAAUUUGUGCUGCUGUUCUGAAAAGAACAAUAUUACUGCUAAAUGGCUGAACCAGGGCUAGCUCGAGAAAAUGAAUAAGUAGAAGGAUUUCAGGAAGCCUUAGCAUUUCAGAUCUGGUACCUCAAUAGAGAAGUUGUGCAACUUUGUGAUGGAUUUGGUUACUUCAUAUACUACAGUCUGAGAAAGAAAAGAGGAGGUAAUUCUGUGAGAAUAGAGCUUAAGAUGUAUCUUGAAACUUGGGCAGUAGCAUUUUCCUAUUUAGUCCUUCAGUGCAGAUUCAGGUAUGAGGUAGUUGGGUGUUUAUUUAAAAAAUACAUGAUCUUCAAGGAAUUAGUUUGAUAUCCCAAAGCAUAUAAAUAAUUUGUUUUUUUAAUAUUCUCUCUUUUUUUCUUAUAGUAAGUUAAUAUUCAAAAUCUUUAACAGAACAUCUAAACCCGUAAAGCAUGUUUUUGAGAAGCUUUCUGUGCCCUCUGCCAUCUUUUUGCACCUAUUCUUUUUUUUUUUCCAUGUGCUGGAGGUAAUGCCUGAGCACAAGUCAGCACCUGCUGUGAGUGUCUGUGUCCUAAUUUGUCCAGAUGUCCUGAGGCAACUCAGGCCAGACGGAACAUAGAACUGGAGCUCAUACUGGAGUGUUCUCAAGUGAAGUUGCUGAUCUGAUUUUCUGCUUUUUUUUUUUUUUUAAUGAUUAAUCUUGUAGUAUCUCAAGUGCUGUCAAAUUCAUGUAAAGAUUUAAAAAACUGGUAAGUGGGGAGUGAUAGGAUACCCUAGAUGUAAGUGCUGAAUACCCCACCACAGCUAAACUGCAAAUAAUGUAACAUUAAUUUUAAAAGGUACACUUCCUUGAGCUUUCCUAUAAGACCAAUACUUAAAUAGCUUAGAAACAGUAUAAUCUGGUCAAUAAAACUGCAUUGCACCGGCUAUUGUAUUAGUAACUUCUUAGCUUAAUAUGAUAGAAAGGUGACUAUUUCAAAUUACAGCAUUAAUAAGUUCUGCCUCUGGCUACAAGUAAUGUUUCCUUGUAAGAUGAAAUCAAACUUGGAAAUUAUAACAAUACUGUGCAGCUUUCCGCUUUUUUUUUUGGUAGAUAGCUGACCAUGGUCUCUUACAGCUUGCUUGAAGCAUAAUCAAUGUGUUAUUGUGGAUCCCUGUCAAGUCAGAUGAUAGUAACAAAAGUAUAGCUAGAAAGAGCAUACAGGUCACUAGCAAGCAAGCAAAGACAACGGGCCUUUUAUUGUGCUCGCUCCCAAUGGCUGCUGAUGUUCAAAGCGUUGGGUGGUACUUCAUACAGAAAUAGACAUAACUGUGUCUUUUAUUAGUUUCUCAUGUGAUACUAAAGCUUUAUAAAAAAAAAAAAAAAGGCUUUCUAAAAAGACUCAUUUGUAUUUAAGAUUUCCAGCCCAUUUUAUUUACUCUCUACAAAUCCUUUAUAUAAAGAAACUAAGGUGUGUGAAAGUUCAACGGUAGUAGAAAUAUUAGUGAAAACUGUUGAAUAAAUGAGCAUUGCUUGCUGAA
Molecule: long non-coding RNA, 7672 nt
Organism: Tympanuchus pallidicinctus (lesser prairie-chicken)
Lineage: Eukaryota; Metazoa; Chordata; Aves; Galliformes; Phasianidae
Exons: 2
Source: RefSeq, a predicted model, not a curated record